CACAUGCAAGUCGAACGGAAAGGCCCUUCGGGGUACUCGAGUGGCGAACGGGUGAGUAACACGUGGGUGAUCUGCCCUGCACUUUGGGAUAAGCCUGGGAAACUGGGUCUAAUACCGAAUACACCUCGCUGGCCGCAUGGUCUGGUGGGGGAAAGCUUUUGCGGUGUGGGAUGGGCCCGCGGCCUAUCAGCUUGUUGGUGGGGUGAUGGCCUACCAAGGCGACGACGGGUAGCCGGCCUGAGAGGGUGACCGGCCACACUGGGACUGAGAUACGGCCCAGACUCCUACGGGAGGCAGCAGUGGGGAAUAUUGCACAAUGGGCGCAAGCCUGAUGCAGCGACGCCGCGUGGGGGAUGACGGCCUUCGGGUUGUAAACCCCUUUCAGCACAGACGAAGCGCGAGUGACGGUAUGUGCAGAAGAAGGACCGGCCAACUACGUGCCA
Molecule: ribosomal RNA, 443 nt
Filed under: Mycolicibacterium sp.
Lineage: Bacteria; Bacillati; Actinomycetota; Actinomycetes; Mycobacteriales; Mycobacteriaceae
Description: bacterial SSU rRNA
Rfam family: Bacterial small subunit ribosomal RNA
Source: RNAcentral